RNAcentral lists this ribosomal RNA (463 nucleotides) under uncultured bacterium. Its description in RNAcentral is "bacterial SSU rRNA". It matches the Rfam family "Bacterial small subunit ribosomal RNA", at positions 917 to 1382 of the family's 1533-position model. The record is from RNAcentral.
GGGCCCGCACAAGCGGUGGAGCAUGUGGUUUAAUUCGACGCAACGCGCAGAACCUUACCAGGGUUUGACAUCCCGCGCUAAACUCAGAGAUGGGUGGUCCCCGCAAGGGGCGCGGAGACAGGUGCUGCAUGGCUGUCGUCAGCUCGUGUCGUGAGAUGUUGGGUUAAGUCCCGCAACGAGCGCAACCCUCUCCUUUAGUUGCCAUCAUUUAGUUGGGCACUCUAAAGGGACCGCCGGCGACAAGCCGGAGGAAGGUGGGGAUGACGUCAAGUCCUCAUGGCCCUUACACCCUGGGCUACACACGUGCUACAAUGGCGGUGACAGUGGGCAGCGACCACGCGAGUGGAUGCGAAUCCCAAAAAACCGUCCCAGUUCAGAUUGCACUCUGCAACUCGAGUGCAUGAAGGCGGAAUCGCUAGUAAUCGCAGAACAGCAGGCUGCGGUGAAUACGUUCCCGGGCCUU